AGGUCAAGCGAAGAAAGGCACGAGGCGGAUGCCUUGGCACUGGGAGCCGACGAAGGACGCGACAAGCUGCGAAAAGCCGCGGGGAGGGGCAAAUACCCGUCGAACCGCGGAUGUCCGAAUGGGGGAACCCGCCCGUCGCAAUGGACGGGCAUCGCGCGCCGAAGAAGAUAGGCGCGAGGAAGGCGACGAGGGGAACUGAAACAUCUAAGUACCCUUAGGAAAAGAAAGAAACAUCGAUAUCCCAAGUAGCGGCGAGCGAACGGGAAGGAGCCCAAACCGGGAGCCACGGCUCCCGGGGUUGAGGACCGCUCGAAGGACGGAAGGUUCCUAGCCGAGCGCGUUGGAAAGCGCGGACGAAGAGGGUGAAAUCCCCGUAGGCGAAAGGAACGUUUCGCGGGAGCGGCACCAGAGUAGCGCCGGACACGAGGAACCCGGCGCGAAGCAGGGGGGACCACCCCCCAAGGCUGAACACUACCCAGUGACCGAUAGCGAACAGUACCGUGAGGGAAAGGUGAAAAGAACCCCGGGAGGGGAGUGAAAGAGAACCUGAAACCUCGUGCCCACAAGCGGAGGGAGCGAAAGUGACCUCGUACUUUUUGUAGAACGGGCCAACGAGUCACGAGGCGUGGCGAGGUUAAGGCGCUGGAGCGCCGGAGCCGGAGCGAAAGCGAGCCUGAAAAGGGCGAAAAAGUCGCGUCGCGUGGACCCGAAACCGGGUGACCUAUCCAUGGGCAGGUCGAAGCGGGAGUAAAAUCCCGUGGAGGACCGAACCCGUACGCGUUGAAAAGCGUUGGGAUGACCUGUGGAUAGCGGUGAAAUUCCAAUCGAACCCGGAGAUAGCUGGUUCUCCUCGAAAUAGCUUUAGGGCUAGCCUCGGAAAGAGACACGCGGAGGUAGAGCACUGAAUGUUCUAGGGGCCUUCACCGGUUACCGAAAACUAUCAAACUCCGAAUGCCGCGCGAUCGUGACCGGGAGUCAGACCACGUGAGAUAAGUUUCGUGGUCGAAAGGGAAACAGCCCAGACCCACAGCUAAGGUCCCGAAAGAUGAGUUAAGUGGAAAAGGAUGUGAAGCCGCGCAAACAGCUAGGAUGUUGGCUUAGAAGCAGCCAUGCAUUCAAAGAGUGCGUAACAGCUCACUAGUCGAGUGGCUUCGCGCCGAAGAUGAACGGGGCUGAAACUCAUUACCGAAGCUUGGGACGCCGAAAGGCGUGGUAGAGGAGCGUCGCGCGGGGGCUGAAGCCCGCUUGCGAAGGCGGGUGGACCGCGCGCGAGAGAGAAUGUUGGCAUGAGUAGCGAAAGGCAGGUGGGAAUCCUGCCCGCCGAAAAUCCAAGGUUUCCUGGGGAAGGUUCGUCCGCCCAGGGUAAGUCGGGACCUAAGCCGAGGGCGAAAGCCGUGGGCGAUGGACGACUGGUUGAGAUUCCAGUACCGCCGAAAGCCGAUCGAGCGAAGCGGGGACGCGGAAGGACAAGCGGAGCGCGCCGUUGGUUGAGCGCGCGCAAGCGUCGAGAGGGCCGGGACAGGCAAAUCCGUCCGGGCUGUACCUCGAGGCGCGACGCGGAGGGAAAAGAGUACCGAAGCCGCCGGGUUCAAGCCGCCGAGAAAAGCCGCUAGCGAGGCCGUAGGCGCCCGUACCGCAAACCGACACAGGUGGAUGAGGAGAGGAUCCUAAGGCGAGCGAGAGAACUAUUGUUAAGGAACUCGGCAAAAUGGCCCCGUAACUUAGGGAGAAGGGGCGCCACCGAGAGGUGGCCGCAGUGAAAAGGCCCAGGCGACUGUUUAGCAAAAACACAGGUCUCUGCGAAAGCGAAAGCUGAAGUAUAGGGGCUGACGCCUGCCCGGUGCUGGAAGGUCAAGGGGAGCGCUCAGCGCGAGCGAAGGCGCGAACCCAAGCCCCAGUAAACGGCGGCCGUAACUAUAACGGUCCUAAGGUAGCGAAAUUCCUUGUCAGGUAAGUUCUGACCCGCACGAAAGGCGUAACGAUCUGGGCGCUGUCUCAACAAUAGGCUCGGUGAAAUUGUAGUGCCGGUAAAGAUGCCGGUUACCCGCAGCAGGACGGAAAGACCCCGUGGAGCUUCACUGCAGCUUGGCAUUGGAUUUCGGCGUCGCGCGUACAGGAUAGGUGGGAGGCGACGAACCCAGGACGCCAGUCUUGGGGGAGCCACCGUUGGGAUACCACCCUUGCGACGUUGGAAUUCUAACCGCGCGCCGUGAUCCGGCGUCGGGACAGUGCCUGGCGGGCAGUUUGACUGGGGCGGUCGCCUCCCAAAGAGUAACGGAGGCGCCCAAAGGUUCCCUCAGUGCGGACGGAAAUCGCACGAAGAGCGCAAAGGCAGAAGGGAGCUUGACUGCGAGGCCGACGGGCCGAGCAGGGACGAAAGUCGGGCUUAGUGAUCCGGUGGCGCCGAGUGGAAGGGCCAUCGCUCAACGGAUAAAAGCUACCCCGGGGAUAACAGGCUGAUACCCCCCAAGAGUCCACAUCGACGGGGGUGUUUGGCACCUCGAUGUCGGCUCGUCUCAUCCUGGGGCUGGAGUGGGUCCCAAGGGUUGGGCUGUUCGCCCAUUAAAGAGGUACGCGAGCUGGGUUCAGAACGUCGUGAGACAGUUCGGUCCCUAUCCGCUGUGGGCGUUGGAGGUUUGAGUGGGGCUGUCCUUAGUACGAGAGGACCGGGACGGACGCGCCGCUGGUGCACCAGUUGUCCUGCCAAGGGCACGGCUGGGCGGCCAAGCGCGGACGGGAUAAGCGCUGAAAGCAUCUAAGUGCGAAGCCCUCCACGAGAAAGGACCUCCUUUUCGAAAGAAUGGAGACCCGUGGUGGACCACCACGUUGAUAGGCCAGGGGUGGAAGCGCGGCGACGCGCGGAGCUGGCUGGCACUAAUCGGUCGAACGCUUGACCAAU
Molecule: ribosomal RNA, 2899 nt
Filed under: Clostridiales bacterium
Lineage: Bacteria; Bacillati; Bacillota; Clostridia; Eubacteriales
Description: 23S ribosomal RNA
Rfam family: Bacterial large subunit ribosomal RNA
Source: RNAcentral